AAGCUGGCGGUAGGCCUAACACAUGCAAGUCGAACGGCAGCACAGGAGAGCUUGCUCUCUGGGUGGCGAGUGGCGGACGGGUGAGGAAUACAUCGGAAUCUACUUUUUCGUGGGGGAUAACGUAGGGAAACUUACGCUAAUACCGCAUACGACCUACGGGUGAAAGCAGGGGAUCUUCGGACCUUGCGCGAUUGAAUGAGCCGAUGUCGGAUUAGCUAGUUGGCGGGGUAAAGGCCCACCAAGGCGACGAUCCGUAGCUGGUCUGAGAGGAUGAUCAGCCACACUGGAACUGAGACACGGUCCAGACUCCUACGGGAGGCAGCAGUGGGGAAUAUUGGACAAUGGGCGCAAGCCUGAUCCAGCCAUACCGCGUGGGGUGAAGAAGGCCUUCCGGGUUGUAAAGCCCUUUUGUUGGGAAAGAAAUCCAGCUGGCUAAUCCCGGUUGGGAUGACGGUACCCAAAGAAUAACACCGGCUAAC
RNAcentral lists this ribosomal RNA (479 nucleotides) under Stenotrophomonas maltophilia. RNAcentral describes it as "bacterial SSU rRNA". It matches the Rfam family "Bacterial small subunit ribosomal RNA", at positions 35 to 501 of the family's 1533-position model. Lineage: Bacteria; Pseudomonadati; Pseudomonadota; Gammaproteobacteria; Lysobacterales; Lysobacteraceae. The record is from RNAcentral.